GGGGGGGGGGGGGGGGGGGGUGAUAGGUGGAGGGGGGGGGGACAGACGAGGAGCUGGCUCCUCUGGCGUGGGCGGCGGAGGGGGGAGUAACACGUGGAUAACCUACCUAUAAGACUGGGAUAACUUCGGGAAACCGGAGCUAAUACCGGAUAAUAUAUUGAACCGCAUGGUUCAAUAGUGAAAGACGGUUUUGCUGUCACUUAUAGAUGGAUCCGCGCCGCAUUAGCUAGUUGGUAAGGUAACGGCUUACCAAGGCAACGAUGCGUAGCCGACCUGAGAGGGUGAUCGGCCACACUGGAACUGAGACACGGUCCAGACUCCUACGGGAGGCAGCAGUAGGGAAUCUUCCGCAAUGGGCGAAAGCCUGACGGAGCAACGCCGCGUGAGUGAUGAAGGUCUUCGGAUCGUAAAACUCUGUUAUUAGGGAAGAACAAAUGUGUAAGUAACUAUGCACGUCUUGACGGUACCUAAUCAGAAAGCCACGGCUAACUACGUG
RNAcentral lists this ribosomal RNA (496 nucleotides) under uncultured bacterium. Its description in RNAcentral is "partial 16S ribosomal RNA". It matches the Rfam family "Bacterial small subunit ribosomal RNA", at positions 38 to 507 of the family's 1533-position model. The record is from RNAcentral.